GAACUUUGCUCGCCAGAUGGCGACAGCGCGGAACCCGGAAAGGCCGCCACCGGCGUCGGGCGACGGAAGACCCGCCCGUGCCGGACGAACUUGCAGCGGGAAAGGAAAGGGACAGAGAGACUUCCUCGAGGUUUAUUUAUCUCGAAAUACUGACUGGUGAAUGAAGAUAAGGUGGAGUUAAUCGGUGCCAUCCUGCUGAAGUUUCUGUCCAAACGUUUUGUGAUCACGCGACUUAAAGCCGCCAUUAUUCUUCCAAACAACGUGCUAGAGAGAUUGGAACGAAUGUGGUGGAUAAAUUUUAUCGUCUACGCGUUGAUUGUCGGCAAACGAAUUAAAAUUAAUAAAGUUUUUAGAGUGUGACUACGUGUGCCGCUUUCGGCUGCACAAAUCUCAGCUAGAAAAGAGUUUUGAUAAAACUUUUUCCGAAAGAUCCCGCACGUCGUAAACGUUGGCAAACAAAAGCAAACGAGAAGGCUGGAAAGCAACCGACAGCAACUAUUUAUGCGAAAUAAGUAAAAUAGUAACAAUCAUCUAUGUAUUUAAAUUUUUAUAUUAUUUUAGAAUAAUAUAUUCAUUCACGAAACAGAUCAAAUUGCUUAAAAUUUAAAUAAAAAAUUCAGUAUACAUAAAUUAAUACGGGUAUUCAUAUAAUUUAAUAUCUACAAUACUGUAUCUCAUAUGAAAGGCCUUAUUAAAUAUUGUAAAUUAUUGUAGAUUUGUAAUUUAGAAUACUGUAUAGACUAUAUAUAAAGUAGGAUUUGAUACGCAAUGAUUAGUGAAUGAGAGAUAAAUUUUAAUUAUAUAAUAUUUAUCAUUAGCUACUUAUAAUAAAUUAUUAUCUUAGUUUAAUAAGUAAUAAUAAUAAUGUAUAAGUGUAAUGUGUAUUGUUCGGGAAUUAAGUUAUUUUGUAAAUACACCUCACAGUAGAAUACACUUAAUAUUCUGUAAACACAAACAUAUAUAUUAUUCAUUUAAUUGCACGGAACUUUUAAAAUAAUUAUGCAACUGCAAACCAUACUAUAAGUACAGUACAUAUACAAGUAAAACUUAUAAGUAGAGUCUCACAUUAGUAAUAUAUAUAUCUAUUUUUUAGUAAUAACUUAUAUAGGCUAUAUAUAUAUAUAUUACUAAUAUUAGACUCUUUACUUGUGUUAUAAGAUAAUUUUUACUUGUAUAUGUUACUUGUGUUAUGGUUUGCACUUGCAUAAAGUUCCACGCAAUUAAUCAUGUAAUAGCAUCGAUUGUUUAAAUCAAAAUGUGCCGUCUUAAUAUUUCAAAUGAUACACUCGAUCCGAUUUUCAGGUUCAAUUUCCCGAUGAUCAACGAGAAAAAACUAAAGUCGAUCGAACUA
This is a long non-coding RNA of Centruroides sculpturatus (bark scorpion), 1351 nucleotides long. RefSeq lists it as uncharacterized. NCBI's taxonomy places the organism in Eukaryota, Metazoa, Arthropoda, Arachnida, Scorpiones, Buthidae. The record is from RefSeq and is a predicted model, not a curated record. The transcript has 4 exons.